CGGUAUUUCAUCUUCUCCUUCUUCCUGGCCCUUUGUGGCGCCAACGCACGGAGGCGAUAAUCAACGUAGCAAAAGGCGGCGACGUGGAGGUUCGGAGCGAAAGCCAGCUCGGAAGAGGUUAGUGUGAAUCUCACCAUCUACUUUUAGGUUUUUUUCCGAAUCUUUGUUUGGAUUUUUUGAAUCUGCAAAUUGAUUUUGUGGAAAAGAAAGUACUUUCUAAAUCUGUUAAUUUCUUAUUUCGCACAGUACGUACAAAACUUGUUGAUUACUUUUUUUUCCGUGAAUCUGUGAAUUGCGUCUUUUGCACAGAGCAUACAUAACUUGUGAUUUCAUGUAGGAAAAUAUAAGAACUUUCUGAAUCUGUGAAAAUAAGAUUCAUAAUAACUCUAUUGAAAGAACAUUCUAUUCAUUGGGGCAUUUUUAAUAUUCAACAAUUGAGAACUUAGAUGCAACUCAUUAGGUUCAUAAACUCAUAUACAAUUCAUCAUAAACUCAGGAACAACUCAUCCAUCCUCAUAAGCUUUAAGGCAUUCUCCUGUGUUCCAAUCUGUCAACCCUAUCUCGUAAUGCAUCUACUUCAUUGCGAGGUUGUGGAAGUCCAUGAAAAUAUUAUUCUCAAAAUUUACCGACUGCACAUAAUUUGGACUUCGUAAUGGAGCACUUUGUGUUGGUGCCAAUGAUGCUUAAAGCUCCAAAUUCUCAACACGCAGAUCAUGAAUUUGGUUCCUCAUACUCUCCAUCAUAUUCGCCAUAUUUAACUUCUCGUUUACAAUAGCAACUUUCACGUGAAACCAUUCAAAGUAACCACAACCGGUGCCAUCCUAUAGCAUGUAUGGAUUUCACGAGUGUUAGUUACUACAAGAAGGAGGCCCUAAAAUGGUAGGUAUGAACAAUGUGUUCACCUUUAAAUCGUAGUUUGCACAACCAAAAAUCUUUCAAUUCGGGUUUUGCGCUGAGUGUGAGAUACGACGGGAAGACUAUACCCCACAAUUUCACAAAACAUGAGCAUCCUCGUAACCAAACUCAUCACAUGAUUUCAUUGAUUGUUUCAUUAUGGAAAUGAUGUUCUCAACUGUUGCAUAAACGUUUAAGUAAAAUCAAAUCCAAAUACAGAGAAUCUAAUCGAUGUCAUCAAACUAAUGAAUCCAUAUAAACAAGCUACUCGAUUUGGGCAAGCAAACUACUCCAUCUAAACAAGCUAAUGGAUUUUAACAAACAAACUAAUCAAUACAACAAGCUAAUGAAUUUUAUCAAAAAACUGUAAUCAUCAAACAAGACAAUAAAAAACAAGACAGUUAAGCUUUCCCAUAGAGGAAACCUCUAUCCACAAUACCUUCAUGAUUCCAACGUCUUGGAUCAAACAUCCCCUUCUGAUUUUGGAGUUUAAGGUGAGUUAGCAGUUUCAGAAGAUCAAUUGAUUGUUUGCGGGAAAAAAAGAAAAUGGCAUUGGGGGAGGACAGGUGCGUGGAUAAGAAAAGGAGGAGAAUAGAAAUGGUGGUAUUUCAAUAUUUUCAGUUCAUGGAAAGUUAUAGGUCAAAUCCGGUAUGUUAAAUUGGGUUUAUCAUAUGGAAAAAUGGCCUUUUCUACAGUUAAUUGGACUCUCACAGUUAUUUGGACUCCGAUGAAAAAUAAUUUCCCCCCAUAAAUAAACUCAAUUAAUAGGAAACCGCAGUCAUAUACUUCAAUUGAAUUAAUCAAUUCCUUAAAAAAAUGGAUGGCACUUAACUGAUAAUCCAAAUAUUUGCAAACACAAAACAAAAGUGACUGGAAGGUGCAAUAGUAAUUUUAACGUGUCCAUAUAUUAAUUUGGCAGUCCAAAAUACCAAAAACGAAAACUAUAAAAGUUCAAUAUCCGGGAAGUUAUAGAAAAUAAUACAUGUGACAAAAAAGAAGUUUGAUAAAAGUAGGAGGAGAAUAGAAAUGGUGGUAUUUCAAUAUUUUCAGUUCAUGGAAAGUUAUAGGUCAAAUCCGGUAUGUUAAAUUGGGUUUAUCAUAUGGAAAAAUGGCCUUUUCUACAGUUAAUUGGACUCUCACAGUUAUUUGGACUCCGAUGAAAAAUAAUUUCCCCCCAUAAAUAAACUCAAUUAAUAGGAAACCGCAGUCAUAUACUUCAAUUGAAUUAAUCAAUUCCUUAAAAAAAUGGAUGGCACUUAACUGAUAAUCCAAAUAUUUGCAAACACAAAACAAAAGUGACUGGAAGGUGCAAUAGUAAUUUUAACGUGUCCAUAUAUUAAUUUGGCAGUCCAAAAUACCAAAAACGAAAAAUACAAAAGUUCAGUUCACGGAAAGUUAUAGUAAAUAAUACAUGUGACCAAAAGAGAAAUUUGAUAAAAGUUUUUUUUUAAAACGGAAAUUAAAAAACGGUAGAGAUUAAAAUCCACCAAUGGGCGGCCCAGAUUAAAUUCUCUAAAUGAGAGUAUCGGUAUUCCGAGAAUACUGAAGAGUUUUUCUUGAAAUAAUAAGUUUGAGUUUGUGUGUUUUGAGAUAAAGGCUAGUAAUCUAUACUCAUUUGAUUCGUUUAAGUGCGUGUUGAUUCAUACUUGGAGGAUCAUUGGUUCGUUUGAGUGUGUGUCGAUUUGUACUUGGAGGUCUAUUAGUCAUAUAAGCGAGAUAGUCACUCUCUAUCAUGGCCGACAUCUAUCUUGCUUCUUUCUAUUAUCGAAGAUUUCGAGUUCAAUUGUUUCGUGCCAAUAUUGUUCUUGGGUUUCAUCGUAAUUGUUGGUAUGGUUAACAACUUAACAUAACCUCUGUCACGUGAUUAUGUACUGCAUUUCCUCGACCUCCAUCCAGGUGCUUUGGAAUGGUUCUUGCUCAGAAAACUUCAAACCUAUUGAUGACGUUUGAUUUAUCAUGUUCAUCGCUCUCAUUUAAGCAACAUUGCAUGCAUUAUUGUAUAACUUUGGGUAUAACUUUAAGGUGUUUCUUGCAUUUUAAACUUCUAUCUCGAUUUAAUGUCUCAACCCCGCUUGGGGUCCAUUUGAUGUCGGUUUUGAGUGUUUUCUAUAAUUUUUAGGUACAAGACGACAUCAAGGCAUUAAGUUGAGUGAUUCAACGUCCUUGGAUGAGAUAGGAUGAAUCGGAGGAUAAAAAAAUACAAAGUGUUAAAAAUGUGCAAAAGUGCGCUAUUAGUCUUCUAAGGUGCAAAAGUGCGCUAUUACUCAACCUACGGCUCACAUUAGAACAACAGGAGACAAUCCCCAGACCACUAAACAUGUAAUUGUAGCCAUAAGAUCUACAAUUGUGUGGUGCUCAUUAACACAUCCUUAGGCGCGCUUUAGCACAUCCGUCAAUGAUUUCGUUUUGUCUCCUUUUUAGACCAACCCUCCUUCAAUCAGAACGAGACAACCUGUAAACGAAAUUGAGAGUAUUUUUCAGAGACUUUCAAGCAACAAGAAAAUGAUGACUUCAAUGAGCUCAGAUCGUUCAUAGCAUAAUCAAGAUUGGAAGAUCUCAGUUUUAGAGUUCUUCACCGAAAUUAGGUUUUCAGAAUUCUUUUUGUAAACCUAGUUUCAAUCGUUUUCUUAUAUGAAUGAAGCGACAUGAAGAUCAACCAUUGGGACAAAAUCCUGAAGGUUUCAAAAGGAUGAGCAAAUCCAAGAAAAAAAUGAUGGUUUUCAUACCUAGACCGACCACUCACGUAAAUGAGAGGGAAAUCCUAAGUUUCAAGUCAAAUAGAAGCCUCGAAGAAAGGAUCACUACAAAAAAUGGCACAUUUAACAGCAGCUAAAACACAGUUUCAUAGCGGAUUAAGCCGCCGUCAAAUUAUAUUAUAGUGGACGUAGUACCGCUGUUAAAUUCUGAGUCCUCUAGUCUAGCAAAGACGUGCUAAGAAAAAGACGAAAACACAAACAAGCAAUUAAGUCGAAAAUAUUGUCUAUUAUCCUGGGGGUUAUGAGGAUCAUCUAGUAGCCCGACUGCAGGUUAGUGGUCUAAAUUUCAGUUAGAAUAAAAUCCUUAUUGAGGAGUGGUUUAUGAAGUUUGGUUUUGUACGAGGCUCAAUUUGAAAAGGUGUCACACCCAAUUUCAGGUAAACUGUUGGUUUGCAAGUUAUUGUUGAAUCGGCUGAGUUUUGGUCUGAUAAAUUGACCAUCACGGGCGUGACCACUAGUAAGUCACAUGCAUGGUUGCCAUAUGGACCACGGUCUUGGUCAAAAGUCGAUCAUGGGUGUGACCAUCAGUAGGCCACAUGCGUGAUGAUCAGGCAGCCACGAGUGUGGUGAUAGAACAGCCACAUGCGUGGUGGGCUUAUUAUAUAAGUCAGAAUCGUGACCUCAAGCUAAAAAAACAUAGAAACAAAUAAUACCUUCUGGCGGCGAGUUCUUCUAUCGGGAGAAGACAGAACGGAUUAGUCCUGAAUAAGGGUUGACAUAUUAGAGAGGCUAGGGGAUUCAUGAGUAGGUAAUUAAUACUUCUUCUUUCUAUAUUAAUUCCAUAGAUUGAAACUCACCUAGGAAAACCUGAUAGUCCGGGUUUUUCGGAGAUUCAAUCUUGGCUUGAUCUCUUCAGGUCUACAAAAUAGGAGGUUGAACUUCAGGGAGGCUGCACUGCAUAUCAGUCUCUACUAGAAAAGCGUAUCUUGGGUGGGGGUCUAGGAUUAUUUCCUGCUUUAAAGCGUAGAACUGAAUGUAGGAUGUCAAGACCCCAAAUAUUGGAUUUCAUGAUUACCGAGCAGGGCAAUGGGGCCGUGGAGAGCUCGUGUUCUACUGUAUAGACAUUGGUGCGAUGAUUAUGGAGCAUGGAUUUUGGGGCCGUACAAUAGCUCAUGUUCUACUGUACAAGCAUUGAUGUUAUGAUUACAAAGUCGGGCUCUGGGACCGUAGAGUAGCUCGUGUUCUACUAUACUAGCGUUAAAUUUCGAGCAUAACCUCAUGAAGUUUGAACUGUGAUUCAUAGUUCAUGUGUGGGACAUGAUUCAGAUUUAGCUAGAUUAGCUCCUGAUGUGCGUUGGUCACCCACCCACGGGUUGCGUAAUCCCCCAGGAUGUUUCUACGCCUACAGUAUGACGUGUCGAGUAUCCCUACAGAUUCUGCUCACACGAUCUCUAAGGCUACGGGAUGGUUUUUGUGGUCUGAUCCAUUGUUAGGCUGUCAACUUUUAGCUAGGGGUGACUAAUGAUAGGAUGAUGCCUGCAGGACCACAGGGUCACAUUAUUAGUCGAGGUUUAGCUAGAUUUUCUUCACAAUUUUUCUUAGUAUAGUCUCAGUUCUACACGACUCUAGUUUUGCCAUCCAAUGCUUAUCACUAACCCCAUUAGAUUUUGUUUUCCUUGGUGUAUCUGUGUGUUCAGUCACAAGUACUAGAGCUGAUGGUGGAGAGAGAGCUGGUCGGAGUUUUGAUAUCACAUGAUAUAUGUUUAACAUAUUUUCAGGACUGGAGUUAUUCUGUUUCUUUUUUACUUGUUUAGUUGGUUAGUUUAUUUAUGUAUUUUAUUUCAAUUUUAAUGCUUGUUUACCGCAUUUAUUAGAAGUUGAGUAAUGAGUUUGGUUUAUGUUCAAACUCGAGUAGCACUCUUUGGUUGAACCAGUGGUUUGACCGGGACUCCUUGGGUGAGGUUUCACAAAAGGACUAGUGAAGGUUGAUUUAAUAGUUAACUUGACUAUUAAAUCUAACUUGGGGUUGAGCUUUUGUUGAGUGGUUUUCAGAUUUUGGGAAAAAACCUUUUGAAGGAGGGUAGAGUUGCGAUAUCCCUUUUUUGGUUACCCGUUUAACUCGUGUUCGAUUCGAAAGUUAUCAAGAAGGUCAUGUUGUUUCGUCAUGGUCAUGUUGUUUUCAAUAUAUAAAGCUUGUUAGGAUUUUUAGUCGACAUAAUAAUUAGAAGUCUUAAUUGGUUUUCUCUGUUAUGUUGAUGAACACAAUUUCGAAGAAGGGCGAUCCAAGUUUGAAGGUGCAAAUGAGCUCCGAUCAUGUCAUGAUUCUAGAUGGUCGACAAGGAAGAUGUCGGGAUCGUGUCCCCUAGAUUGAUAAGAGGUAAAUGUGGUUUCAGUUUUAGAGAGAUUUGGUUUUGGAAUUAAGUUUUGGGGUUUUCUCCAUGUGUUCAUCUUUUGUGAUCGUUGUUGGCAUGGAAAUCGAUGGUGCCUCCGGGAGUUGGGAACUAGCACGUCGUGGGGUCGUGGUCGAGAGAGGUGGAUCGUUUCCAAGAAACUUGGAGAUCGUCGGAGAAGAUUGCCUUUUCACGGGUCAGGAAAGUUCAGUGACCAAAUCUACAAAGUCCAUAAAGUUAAUUCACAUAUUUGUAGUUUAUGUAAAGUUCAGGGGCUGGAAUGUAAUUCCAAGAAAGUUUGAUGACUGGUCUGCAAUCAAUGUUAUGUCCAGGGACUGGUUCAUAAAUUUUUCCAGAUGGGCAGUAAAAGGUCGAUUCUGCCCCUACAAGUUUCAGCUUGUUGCAAAGGAGUCAUUGGAGCAUAACUCGAUCGUUUGAGCUCCAAACGACACAGGGUUAUAAGCUGUGGAUUUGUGGCAACGAUGGCAGUCACAUCAAUUCAAAAUCAGAGGUGUCAUAUCGUCUUAGAAGUCGGGGUUUAUGUUUUAUUACUAGAUAGUCCUGUGUAGAACUGUAAUUAAAUGUUGGGGAAUCCCAUCAAUGGAUUUCCCUUGUGAUGGUUGAUGGUGUGGAACGAGGGCUCCCGAGACUUUACGAUAGUGUGUGAUCUACUAUCCAAAAGCUUGUGAUUCACUAUUGAGAACAAGAUAAAAUAGGCCUAGCUAGACUAAAUCCCGAUGUUGUGUAUGCGUUGGUCGCUCACCCCCAUAUUGCGCAAUCUCUUAAGGAUGUGUCGAGUGUGCCUAAAAAUGCUGCUCACUCGAUUCAGGGUGGUUUCAUGAUCUGAUCCACUAUGAGACUAUCCACAUAGAUAAAAGUGGAUAAAGCAUAUUAUGCUAUAUCACACACAUAAAAACAAAACCUUUUAAUUGAAUAGAUUAAACAAUAUUUUAUAGAGAUUAAACCUAUCUAUUGCUUAAAAAACACCUAUCUAUUCCAUAUGUGCUGAACAAACGCAUCACAACUUGAACCGUAUGUUCGUUUCUCAUCGCUUUUUGGCCAUGGGACGGCCUUCUUCUUUCGCUGAUGAUGGUAGCCUUCUUCUUCAGCCAUCAAUGAGGACAUCCUUCUUCUUCACCCAUGGUCGAUGGCAGCGGGAUUGGUACACAAAACGAUCGUUUUAUAGGAUGCGGAACCCACCACAACUCUUCUCCAUUCUUCUUCAGCCAACAAUGGCAGGCGCAAGAUUGGUGCUAAGCAAGCUCUAUAUUGUUUAUCAAUGAUAAGGUGGAGCUUAGAGACUAGUUUGUCUUCUGUAAGAGCUCACUUUAUGGCACCAUCCAUAUCCGCGAUGGUGCAUUUGACCUUCAAUUGUCGGGCAAGGUAUUCAGUUUAGUCUUUGCUGGAAUUUAGAAUCUUGUUCUUGACCAACCAAGGUUUGAAACACCACAGAUGCUAAUUGUUGAAUUUCAAGCACCUAUCUCGUUUACUCUGAAGGAAAACGUUUAUGUUCAUCUUUCCUUCGUGUUUUAAAAAUAGCUGCAUCAUCACAUAUGUACCUCCUAUAUCCAUUGACUUUAGCAAGUAACCUCUCAAACUAUGGUUGCAAUUUUAUUAGUUUUUCAUUGAAUGGAGUGUUAAAUUGCAUGUUGAUUUUGUAGAUAAUAUGUUUGGAUCAGAAUGAUAAGGCAAGAGAUGAGCAAACUGACAACUGAAUUAGUUGCAGAGAUUUCAUUGAAAUAGUGCUGAUCAUGAUGCCUUGAGAUCAGCCAUGAUCUCAACAGCAAACAACCCAUGUUUAACAACUCGCAUGACUAAACUGUAAACAAAUAGAAGUUCUGAACUACGAAGGCAAUAUAACAAACUUAAAUGACUAAACUAAAACGACACAGUUUCAUUAACUUAACACAUCCUCCCCUGAACUAAAAUUUCCAGAAAGGAAUUUUAGUUCAUCUUCUCAUUAAUUUCAGCAGGUCUCAUCCUUCUAGUUCUGUGAUGUCCACCAAGCCAAGUCUACUACGGAGUAGCUUAAACGAAUCUAACUUCAGAGCCUUGGUCAUAAUAUAAGCUACUUGAUCACGAGUUCCAUAAUGCUCCAGUUCAAUCAUUCCUUCUUUAACCAAGUCUCUCAAGAAAUGAAAUCUGACAUCAAUGUGUUUGCUUCUCCCAUGCAUUACUAGAUUCUUUGACAGCUUAAUUGCUAAGCUAUUAUCACAGAACACUAUAGUUGCUCUAGAAACACUUUCCUUCCAACCCAUCUGCUCCAAAACUCUUCGAAGCCAAACACACUGUGUUGCACAAUGUGAUGCAGCUACGAAUUCUGCCUCAGUAGUUGAUAAGGUUACAACUGGUUGUUUCUUUGAUGCCCAAAAAAUAGCCCAUUCUGCAAGAAAGAACACAUGACCACUCGUGUUUUUCCUGUCAUCGAGAUCACCUGCAUAAUCACUAUCAGUGUAACCAAGCAAGUUGUCUUGUUCUUCACCUCUGCGAUACCAGAUUCCAAAGUUCAUACUUCCUUUAAGUUCAUGCUUCUCUAGCUUCCUUUUCUACUUGAGCUUUGAACUUCUUGAAACAACUCAAAGCUUCUGAUUUUGCAGUUAAAAAAUACACCCACAGUUUUCUUGAGAAAUCAGUAGUUAGAGUAAAAAUAUACCUCUUACCUCUGUUUGAUGCUGGUGUAAUAGGACCACAAAGAUCUGUGUGAAUCAAGUCCAGUUUAUAAGUGGCUCUCCAGCCACUUUUUUAAGGAAAUUUAUGUCUGUGUUGCUUGCCUGCCAAGCAAAUAUCACAGACUCCUAGUUCUCCAUUCAACUGGGGAAAACCUUGUACCAAGCCUUUUUUUGCAAUUCCUCUAAGCUCUUACCAUUCAAAUGACCAAAACGUCGAUGCCACAAAGUUAUGUCAUUCUCCUUAACACUUACAUUUGCCUUGAAACAUUUCUGCUCAGAAACUUGUUUGUCAUUCUUAUACUCAGCAUGAAUGACAAACAUUUGAUUAGUUUUCAUAUAUGUUUCCAGCAGUAGCCCCUUCUGAUCAUGAAAGACUUGACAAGCAUUUUUCCUGAUAACAAAAGACAAGCUUCUCUCCUAUAGUUGUCCUAUGCUCAGUAGAUGAGUUUGUAAACUGGGAACAUAGAACACAUCCUGAAUAACCAGUGACAACUGAUCAACUAAGAUCCUGAUGCUUCCUUUGCGUGCAACCUUAAGUUUUGUUCUAUUUCCCAACCUCACAUCACACCUGACAGUUGUAUCUAUGUCCAAAAACCACGUUUGGUCACCACUCAUAUGAUUACUACACCCUGAGUCUAGAAACCACCAACCAGUUGUCUUAUCAUACUGAUCUUUAUCCACACGAGCCAUCAACAACACAUCAUCUUUCAUGUCUGCGUGAGUGGAAGACUGUUUUUGAUUGGAUCCAGAAUUUGAGCUUGACCCUGGACCAUCAUAGCUAUAACCUGACCCCCAUACUGGUACUGCUUUUGAGCAUUCCAGUUUCCCUAUUUUUCCAAUGCGCUUGUUGAGUGUUCCACUCAGGACAUUCAGCUAUGUAAUGACCAUAUCUGUGACACUUGAAGCACUCAACAGAGGCACGAUUCCAGUUCGUUCCACCUCUUCCACGACCUCUUCCAAAGAAGCUCCCUCUGUUAAAACCUCUACCUCCUACAUUACUAUUAGAGUUGUGAGUCACUUUCAGCGCAUGAUCUUCCUCAAUAUGGUGCUUGGUAAAUUUCUGCUCAUGAACAAGCAGAGAACUCUACAAAGCAUCAAUAGUUUCUCAUAGCAUUAGCCACCACCAUAACCCUGCUGAAAUAGUCAUUGCCACUUUCUCCCUCCUUCAUGUCAAGCACUUCUUCUCAGAACCUGGAGCUGCGAUUUCUGUACUCUAGCAUUUCCGUGACAUUUCGUCUUCAUAGUAAGCCAAAGCUCUCUUGCAGUCGCCUUGUUGGUUAUUGUCUUUAGGAUUUCCUUAUCAAUGGAACUAAACAGAUAGUUCUUUGCCUUGAGAUCCUUUAGACGUGCAGCCUCCAAGGUGGUACGUUGAGCAUUGGUCAGAACCACUCCUUCAGCAUGUUCUGUGAAGCCAUCUUCGACAACCGUCCAAUACUCCUUAGAUUAUAGUAGAUUUUCCAUUAAUAAACUCCAAUGAUCAUAAUCACCAUUAAACUUAGGAAUGCUCACUGCAGCAAAACUCUCACUCAUGAUUGCUUGUUUUCUCCUCAAGCUCUAACUCUAUAACACUCUUAAUUUUCAAUACUUCAACUCAACUCUCUUUUCUCUCAUGUGAUUUCGUCGAAUGGUUACAGUUUGUUAUAAGUUCUGAUACCAUAUGAUAAGGCAAGAGAUGAGCAAACUGACAACUGAAUUAGUUGCAGAGAUUUCAUUGAAAUAGUGGUGAUCAUGAUGCCUUGAGAUCAACCAUGAUCUCAACAGCAAACAACCCACGUUUAACAACCCGCAGGACUAAACUGUAAAACAAAUAGAAGUUCUGAACUACGAAGGCAAUAUAACAAACUUAAAUGACUAAACUAAAACGACACAAUUUCAUUAACUUAACACAGAGCUGGGUAUCAAAGGAAAGUAGAAUAAAGGAGGUUGAUGAUGCUGCAGCUGCCACAUCCAUGAGAAGGCAACAUAAGUGUGAAGUUUUCGGAAGUGUUUAAUGAACUUGUUGUUAAUGUUAGAAGUUCGAUAGGCGUAGGCUUUUAGACUGAAGGACAAAUACUUAACUAGUGAUCGAUUGCCCCGUUAGAUAGGCAAUGGUGUUCUUGAAGCGUUAUGUUACGGGUCAAUUGGGUCUUGGACUGGGAGGGUCACCAAGUUGACACGGAUUUCCCAUAGUGUCACAUUAAAUCUACAAACCAUUAUAUAUAUAUAUCUUUAGGACUCACAAUUAAAAUUUCCUAAAAUACUUCUUUGUACUCAAAAUAUUAUAUUUUAUAAUUAAAAUUUCCUAAAAUACUUCUUUCUACUCAAAAUAUUAUAUUUUAUAAUUAGUUAUUUGUGGUCUCAAAAUAUUAUAUUUUAUAAUAAGUUCAUUGUGGAGUUUUAAACCUAUCUAAUGGGUGGGAUAUGCGGAUCUCAUGUCAAGUUAAUCGGCUUGCAUAUUUUUGAAGUUGGGAAUUUUUCGGGUUACAGGUCAUCAAGUCACAUGUUCAUUGAGUUGCAUAUUUGUUGGAUAGCUGGUUAAUCGGGUCAUGGGGUUGUCACUACAAUCAAGAAUUGUACCCUAAUCCGGGUGAAUAGCAUGAGCUCUCAUCUAAGUAGCAACCCAAUUCACCAAUCGAUUGUUCCUCCUAGGGGUGAAGAAAAACUUGAUCCACGAUGUGUUAGUUGUGAGAUGGAAGAUCAGACCAAUGGUGGCAUAUCACUCCCAAGGCCACAUGAAAUGUCUGUUGUUCAAUAUGUUAACAAUAUUAAUGCAAUCCGAGAAGAUCAUGGUGGUCUCGGUACCACUCGUGCCGAGCACUGCACACUUUUUCAUGGAUGUCUCAAUUAAGUACUCCAUAAACUGCAUCCUGGGAACCACAUAAAAAAUCGAUCAUAGUGAAUAGUCGUAGAAGGGGUAUUUAGCAGGGGACUAACUGUUUGAUGGUUUUGAACCGAGUGGUUGGAGGAGGGGAUGUUCGUCGGGCGCAUCGCAAGGCUCCAAGCAGCCAAGUCAUUAGUGAUGCUCAAAUUAGUGAAGAAGCUUGACGGCUCCAAUUGUUCCAACAAAUCACUACAAUCUUGGGCAGAGAAGUUCAAGAGAUGGACUCUUGGUGAGAAACAAACCACUGUGUAAAGGAUGAAUCAUAAGUAGGGAGUGUCAAGGAAGGGAGCUGCCUCUCCCAGGUUCUCAUGGUAUGAGCACAGCCAAAUAAGUAGUGGAGAAGGGUUUCAUUACUUCCCUGACAAAUGGGACAAGAGUCAUCCGCCGCAUAUUGGCGUCUUGCAAGAUUUCUUUUCAUAGCGAUCACUUUAUUAUAACAUCUCCACACAUAAAACUUAAGCAUGGGCGGAAGAUUGAGACUCCAAAGCCAUUUCCAAGUCUUGGUCUCGGUCGCAUGGGAGCUAGUGGAACCAUUAGAAUUCUACUUCCCGGUGGGCAAGAGCAAGAAUUCUUCCAACAUGACAAAUCAUUAAUUUCUGGAGGCCCAGCUAGAAUCUUAAUGAUUUCAUCUGUCUAAUAGAUGGAGCAAUCAUCCUCAAUGGCAUGUCGAUUCCAUGUUGGGGGUCCUGAAGCAUCCAGUUAAACACUUUGCAGUUGUAGUCGCCACUUUUCCACAACCGAAAACCGGAAAGAGUGGGAAUCCAAGGAUGGUCUAUAACUAGGUUGUCUCUCCCAUCCCCAAUAAGACAAAUAACACAGCUACUGAGUGAUGAACGGACUUUACCCCGCUUUCAAAUACCCACGAGAUUGCUCUAGUGGGAUCGUAAUUCUCCCUAGGGUCUUUCUAUUCUUAUUACUCAAGAUGACAAUCAAACUAAACCAAGUAACAGAUUGAAAUUAUUUUCUGGAUUGUUUUAAGUAACCGAUUAACAACUAAGCAUGCAAUUACAAGUUAAACGAAUUCGAGAGAUUAAGUUUCUAAUAGGAAUGAAGGUUGCUAGGAUUCAAAUCCACCUAAGCUAGCAAUGUAUGAUGAAUGAUUAAUUAUCUCGGUUAUUCGGGUUAUAACGGCUCGGCAAUUUCCUAAUGUAGUCUUAGAUCAGUCUCGCGCCUCUAAGGAUCUAUUUCUUCUAACUGCAGAUUCCUCUCUCGAGCUAAUCUACACCUAAACAAAACGCAUUAAUUAUGUUCGAUGAACUGCCACAGCGAUAANNNNNNNNNNNNNNNNNNNNNNNNNNNNNNNNNNNNNNNNNNNNNNNNNNNNNNNNNNNNNNNNNNNNNNNNNNNNNNNNNNNNNNNNNNNNNNNNNNNNNNNNNNNNNNNNNNNNNNNNNNNNNNNNNNNNNNNNNNNNNNNNNNNNNNNNNNNNNNNNNNNNNNNNNNNNNNNNNNNNNNNNNNNNNNNNNNNNNNNNNNNNNNNNNNNNNNNNNNNNNNNNNNNNNNNNNNNNNNNNNNNNNNNNNNNNNNNNNNNGACAACACAGAAAUUUUAGCUACUCAUGGUUCGGGAAGUAAGAAGGGAAAAAAAAUGAGAACAACCCGGAAAGAUAACAUAAUCCGUCGAGAAUUCCCAAUCCUGUCGCCGAUCUUCGCUCUGUCUCCANNNNNNNNNNNNNNNNNNNNNNNNNNNNNNNNNNNNNNNNNNNNNNNNNNNNNNNNCCCUUUGUCUCUCUCUAAAAGCUCUAAAAUAUGUGUAGAAAUAAUGAUGUUCUGUCCAGAGGGUUGCUAGGGCUUUUUAUAGGCUCGUCGUCCCAAUCCGAGAUGGAAAAGGAUUAAAAAUCUGUCUGGGAUGGAACACGCCAUGUUCCACAAAACACGCCCUGGGACACGCCGUGCAACUGACCGUGUUUGGUCCCUGUAACUUUUUGCCCAUUUUUCAUCAUCAGGACACGCCGUGUUCCACGGAGCACGCCUUGGGACACGCCGUGCCGGCGGCGCGGCUCCUCUACUUUCAACUAUUUUACCCUUUCCUCAGCCACNNNNNNNNNNNNNNNNNNNNNNNNNNNNNNNNNNNNNNNNNNNNNNNNNNNNNNNNNNNNNNNNNNNNNNNNNNNNNNNNNNNNNNNNNNNNNNNNNNNNNNNNNNNNNNNNNNNNNNNNNNNNNNNNNNNNNNNNNNNNNNNNNNNNNNNNNNNNNNNNNNNNNNNNNNNNNNNNNNNNNNNNNNNNNNNNNNNNNNNNNNNNNNNNNNNNNNNNNNNNNNNNNNNNNNNNNNNNNNNNNNNNNNNNNNNNNNNNNNNNNNNNNNNNNNNNNNNNNNNNNNNNNNNNNNNNNNNNNNNNNNNNNNNNNNNNNNNNNNNNNNNNNNNNNNNNNNNNNNNNNNNNNNNNNNNNNNNNNNNNNNNNNNNNNNNNNNNNNNNNNNNNNNNNNNNNNNNNNNNNNNNNNNNNNNNNNNNNNNNNNNNNNNNNNNNNUGUUCUGUCCAGAGGGUUGCUAGGGCUUUUUAUAGGCUCGUCGUCCCAAUCCGAGAUGGAAAAGGAUUAAAAAUCCGUCUGGGAUGGAACACGCCUUGGGACACGCCGUGCUCUAGGCCGUGUUCCUCCCCUAUAAGUUUUUCUCCCUUUUUCACACCCGGAACACGCCGUGUUCCAGUUGGAACACACCGUGUUCCUCUCUGGCUGCACUUAAAUACUUGCUUGUCCUCAAGCAAAUCUACUAAUCGCUCUCUAUAAAGGCUCAACAUAUGGUGCUCGGAAUUUAAAGUUCAGAUUCUCAAACUAUCAUGGUGUUUAAAGAUGCAAGGUAAUCACAAACCACACAUUUAAGCAUGGAACACCGAAUUCCUCGAAUUAGCAUAAGAUAGAUUCAUAGAUAUGAUAUAAAUGAGUUGACACCUAACCACCAGAAUGUAUCCAUAUCAUAAACUCGGAAGUAACCAGUCUCCGGCCUAUGCCCAAAGCCUCAUAAAGGUAGGGAAGACGGCAAACCACUAGGGUCGCCCUGCGUUUUUCGAUUGCAACCAAACCCCCACGACAUUUUUUGUUUACUAGCAACCUCAUUCGGACUCCGAACUGCCUUCACUGAUGUAGGGGGUGGCAGUGUAGAUAUAGUAUCAAUCUUUGCCAGAUCAACUGCAACUCCCUUCUUCGAAAUUUUGUGGCCUAGCACAAUUCCCUCUCUCACCAUAAAAUAGCUCUUCUCCCAGCUAAGAGCUAGAUUCGUUGCCUCGCAUGUUUUGACGACUUUUUCCAAAUUCAGCAAACCUUGCUCAAAAGAAUCUCCAUAAUAGAAAAGUCAUCCAUGAAUACCUCCAUAAUCUCGCCGAUGAGCUCUUCAAAAAUAGUUAUCAUGCAUCUUUGAAAGGUCGCAGGAGCAUUGCAUACGCCGAAAGGGAUCCUGCAGUAAGCGAAUGUACCAAAGGGACACGUGAAUGUCGUCUUUUCUUGAUCUUCCGGGGCUAUAGGAAUCUGGUAAUAUACAGACAUCCCAUCUAAAAAAUAAUAAUACUCGUGCCCCGCCAAACGUUGCAGCAUCUGAUCGAUGAAAGGAAGGGGAAAAGAUCCUUCCUUGUAGCAUCAUUCAACCGUUUGUAGUCUAUACAAACUCGCCAACCGCUAACAACCCGUGUAGCAAUUAAUUCGCCAGCUGCAUUGGGCAUUACAGUCAUUCCUCCUUUCUUCGGGACACAAUGCACAGGACUCACCAACUUACUGUCCGAUAUGGGAUAGAUAAUCCCUAUAUCUAAAAGUUUCAAAGUCUCCUUACGCACUACCUCCAUUAAAGGGGGAUUUAGGCGCCUCUGGGAUUGACGAACUGGCUUCUCAUCCUCUUAUAGAUAAAUUGGGUGCUUGCAAUAAUUUGGACUGAUUCCCUUAGUAUUUGUCACCUUCCAUGCAAUUGCUUGUUUAUGUUGCUUCAAGAGAGCGACGAGGCUAACCUUCUGUGGUGGGGAGAGAGUCGAGUUGAUGAUCACUGGAAGUUUGGACCCAUCCUCCAAGAACGCAUACUCCAAANNNNNNNNNNNNNNNNNNNNNNNNNNNNNNNNNNNNNUCUAAUCCAACCCUAAGAGUGAUAGUACCAUUACUGAUAUCAAUUAUAGCUUUAGCAGUAUUAAGGAAUGGUCUACCCAGGAUCAAAGACAUAUUCGAAUGAGCAUCUAUCACCACAAAAUCAGUUAAGAAAGUAUAUUUUCCCAUAGUUAACAGUACUUCCUCUAAGAUCCCUCUAGGCACAGUUGCUGAUUUACCGGCCAGUUUAAUAUUCAUGCGAGUAGGCUUAAAGUCUAUCAAUCCUAGAGAAUUAGCCAAGCUAUAGGACAUCACAUUAAUACUAGCCCCUGUAUCUGCUAAACCAUUACUAACUUGCGUAUUACCAAUCUUACAAGGGAGAGUGAACGGACCUGUAUCUCUUCGUUUGCGUGGUAGAGUCCCAAAGUCAAUCUCGGAAUAACUUGCUGCCAUGUCUACUUCUUCGUUCAGCUCUGUGGUUUCUUCCUCAGCGAGAGCUAGCAGUUCAGGAAGCUUCCUCUUAUUCGUCACCAAGUCCUUCAUAAACUUCGCAUAAUGAGGCAUCUCUUUGACCACUUUUACAAAAGGCAUAUCGACAUGCACAGUGUUCAACACCUUCAUGAAUUCAGCAAACUGCUUGUCAUACAACUCCUUAUUUAGUGGAGCAGGAUAUGGAACUCUAGGCUUGUAGGGAUUCUCCACUGGUGGGGGAGUAGGAGUGCAAAGAGGAGGUACUCCUUCGGUUGUAUCCGGAAUGGUGGUAUUUUGCGGCUCUUGUGCAUGAAUAUCCUCUUCAUCCAAAAGGGGUGGAGGUUGCACUAUUGGUGUGACGAUCUUCAUCGGAGGAUCUUGCAGCCGCUUUCUGCUUCUAGUUUCAAUUGCCUCACGUCUUCGUGUUGUCUUGGGUUCGGAACAAUUGAACUAGGCAUACCAUUCCGUUUACCAGGGACACCGGUGUUGGCUAGUUCAUUUAACUGUGCCUGCAUACUUCGCAUUGAUUGUUCUCGAGCUUCAUCAUUAUCCACAAGCCGGUUCAGCAUUCCACAAGCCGGUUCAGAAUAGCAGAUAAUGGCUGCUGGUCCUAUGGAGUAGGAAAUCCAGGGGGGUCUGAUUAGUCGAAUAGGUUAUCUGAUCCUUCUCUCCAUAGAUCUCGUUGACAUAUCGCUGCUGGUUGUUGUCUGAGUAUAGCGGUUGUCUUUGGCGAUUCUGCUGAUAAUUUCCUUGAUUUCUGUUGGUAUGCUGGUUUUGUGGCGGAUGAGUACCCGUACCUCUGUAGUUGCUAUGUCCUGGCUGACUUCUGGCUUGAUGAUUAUUCUGGGCCUUAUUGAAAUUCUACCCUGAUGAUUGGUAACUACUCUAACCCUUAUUGUAGUUCUGAGGUUCUUGAUUAGGCUGUUGGUAGGGAUUCUGGUGUUGACCGCCCACAUAGUCGACAUGCUCAUGUUCCUGCCCCUGCUCGAGCUCCUCCAUAUAGUUGGACACGUCAUGAUCGGUUCCUCCACAUCCUUCACAAGCAUAUACAAAAGUUGUAGGUGUAUUAGAAGGCCUUUGGGAAUGCAGGCUAUUCUUCUGAGCUAAUUCUAUGCUGUCCAUCUUCUUAGUGAGCAAUUGUAGCUAGUCAAGCAGUUGAGCUUGCUGAAAUUCAAUAGUGGAUGAAGAUUCUUCUCUUGCCGCUCCUGUAGACUUUACUUGUUGAACCUGGUUUCUGGGCACAUUCAGCUCAAUGUCUAUUGGGUUGGUGAGGACGAGGGUCCUCAUCUUUUGAGCAUAGGCUAUGCAUGCUUCUAGAGCUUGUGUUGGUGUCAGGUCUGUUAGAUUUCCUGGAAUNNNNNNNNNNNNNNNNNNNNNNNNNNNNNNNNNNNNNNNNNNNNNNNNNNNNNNNNNNNNNNNNNNNNNNNNNNNNNNNNNNNNNNNNNCAUCCAUGUCAUGGUGAGGACAUGAGCGAAGAAGACUCUGGAAUCUAUGCCAAGCAUCAUAGAAUGUCUCGUUGGAAGGACUCUUAAACUGUGAGAUCCUUGCCUUUAAUGCCUCAGUCCUGGAUGGAGAGAAGAAUUCCUCCAAGAACUCCGUGGCUAAUUCAUCCCAAGUAGUGAAAUACCCUGUCGGGUGCUCAUACAACCACUCUUGUGCUUCCGCUUUGAGAGAAAAUGGGAACAGGCUGAGUUUAAGAUCGUCGACGUGGACACCUCUUGCCUUAUUCGUCUCAGCUAGACUCACAAAAUCCCUAAGAUGAGCAUUGGGGUCUUCAUCGGGUCCUCCCGCAAAUGCCCUUGAUUGGAUGAGAUUAAUCAGGGGUACUGGAGUUUGGUAGGCUUGAUCUCCCCUGAUGGGACACAGAAUACUCGAACAAAGAAUACUCAAACCAGCCCCUCCGAGAGUAGGUCGGCCAUAGUCUCUUAAUGGCCUCUCCUGAGGAAUGAGUGGGAUGUGCACGUUGUGCCCUCCAUCGUUGUGAAUAUGGUUGUUGUUGAGAUGGUGAUUGUGAUCAUCGUUGUGAUUAUGGUCGUCGUUGUUGUUGUCCCCUUCUUCAUUAAUGUGGAAUGCAUCCAUCUUGACCUCCUCUUCUGUCUUUUCUGGGUGUAUAACUGGUGGAGGGUGAUCGAGAGCAGCUUCUAAUACUAACUUCUUGCGAGGUUUGGGACCUAGGUGAGUGUAUGAAGUUGUCCCGUUAGCUAGACGUUUACUCUUCCGGAGAGAUGUUGAGUCCGUAAUUUUGCCUGCACAACAGGAAACAACAAAACUACGUAAUAUGAAAAUGUGGGAGAUGAAGUAAUGAUAUUAUGGAUGAGGGAAUAGUUACAAUCAAAAUUUUCCUAAAAAUAGAAAUUAAUUAUCUCGGUUAUUCAGGUUAUAAUGGCUCGGCAAUUUCCUAAUGUAAUCUUAGAUCACUCUCGCGCCUCUAAGGAUCUAUUUCGUCUAACUGCAUAUUCCUCUCUCGAGCUAAUCUACACCUAAACAAAAGGCAUUAAUUAUGUUCGAUGAAAUGCCACAGCGAUAAACGUGCGAAGAGCCUAAACGAUUCGCUCCUCUCUCGAGCUAACGAAUAAUCUAGGGUCCUUCCUAAGCGACCUAUCAACCUAUGUUCCUCUCGGACCCACAAAUCAAUGUCGAUGACUCGAUCAAGUUGAUCAGACAAUAAUGAAUCAGAAAUUAAGUUUUAGGAAGAACGCAUCAUAAGUCUGAAUAAACCUCAAUAACAAAUCAAAUCAUCCAUACAAAAGCUUAGCAAAAGCUUCAUCUCAUCCGAACAACACAGAAAGUUUAGCUACCCAUGUGGAACACGCCCUGGGACACGCCGUGCUCCUGGCCGUGUUUGGCCCCUGUAAUUUUCGCCCAUUUUUCAUCGUCAGGGCACACCGUGUUGCAUCGGGGAGGACGUUGGUAACGACACGUCUGGGAUAGGACACACCGUGUUCCACGGAGCACGCCUUGGGACACGCCGUGCUCUAGGCCGUGUUCCUCCCCUGUACGUUUUUCACCUUUUUUCACACCCGGCACACACACGCCGUGCUCUAGGCCGUGUUCCUCCCCUGUACGUUUUUCACCUUUUUUCACACCCGGAACACACCGUGUUCCUCUCCAGCUGCUCUAAUCAGUCCGUUUCCACUCCCGCUUACCCUCAAACACCGUGUAUUGCCUGAAAGUGCAUCAAAAACACACCGAACAAUGUAAUACGGCCCCAAGGGGCAAGAGGACAAACAUGUGCUAGAGAUCCAGGGUUUAAACACCUUUCGACACACAAAAGGCUCAUUUUACAAUCAAAAAGGUGUGUCGAAUAUGCAACACAUCACCUGUCCGGGCAAACCCGUUGAAAAUCUAUCACGGUUGGAUUCCAUUCAAAUGGAGACGUAAAUUGUUUCUAGUGGAAAAUGCUUUCGUAUUAUAUGGUGCUCAGAAUUUAAAGUUCAGACUCUCAAACUAUCAUGGUGUUUAAAGAUGUAAGGUAAUCACAAAUCACACAUUUAAGCAUGGAACACCGAAUUCCUCGAAUUAGCAUAAGAUAGAUUCAUAGAUAUGAUAUAAAUGAGUUGACACCUAACCACCAGAAUGUAUCCAUAUCAUAANNNNNNNNNNNNNNNNNNNNNNNNNNNNNNNNNNNNNNNNNNNNNNNNNNNNNNNNNNNNNNNNNNNNNNNNNNNNNNNNNNNNNNNNNNNNNNNNNNNNNNNNNNNNNNNNNNNNNNNNNNNNNNNNNNNNNNNNNNNNNNNNNNNNNNNNNNNNNNNNNNNNNNNNNNNNNNNNNNUACCUCUACAGUUUACUGAAAACAAAGCUUGCAUAAUUCGAUGUUGCUUUUCGAUUCUUUCUUUGCUUCUCUUUCUUUAUUGCUUUUUUAGAUAGCGGCUUUUUCUAUACGGGGGGAUUAAUCACAACUUCAGCCGGACUCGGAAGUAACCAGUCUCCGGCCCACGCCCCAAGCCUCAUAAAGGUAGGGAAGACGGCAAACCACUAGGGUCGCCCUGCGUGUUUCGAUUCCAACCAAACCCCCAUGACAUUUUUUACUAGCAACCUCAUUCGGACUCCUCCCGCCUGUUUUACCCUUCAUAACAACUUGAUGAGCGGAUACUUGCCCAAAUCCAAGACAGUCAGCUACCCUUAGAGGCUGAAAGAAAAUCACCUUUUGGGAAAUAAAUACUGUUGAGGACUCUAACCCAAAAGGCAUCAGGGAAGAUAAUUAAUCGUCACCCUUGUUUGGAAAGCAUAGCCUUGUUGAACUCAUGGAAGCUUUGAAAACCCAAUCCCCCAACAUCCUUGGAAGAGCAUAACUUUCUAGCAUUACACCAAUGGAUGGAUUGUUUUCUCAUAUUCCCUGCCUAGAAGAAAUUGUAACACCUCGACCUUUCCGUUAACAUAUUAUCCACUUUAGGCAUAGCUACGAAGUUAUUUUGAAGUGCAUAACAAUGACUUCCCAGGAGGUCACCCAUUUCUACACUGUUCCACCCUGAGCAUGAUUAACUUCCGAGUUCUUUACAAGUCUCACCUCAAAAAUGCGUCUUGUUAGUUAGGAAUGGGUUGUUACUUAUAGCCCAUAGAUCUCUCUCGUGCUUUGUCGAUACGGAAUUUUCCUAAGGUGUUACAUUAAACCCCCCCCCCCCCCCCGUUAAGACUCAACGACCUCGUUAAGGUUUGCCCCACCACUAUUCAAGAGGGACGUGGACAGGCUCUUAUACCACUUGUAAAGCCUUGACCUUUCCAUUAAGAUAUCAUUCGCUUUUAGCAUAGCUAGUCCCGUACAAAUUAUUUUUGGGUGCAUAACACUAACUUCCCAUGUGGUCAUCGACUUUUCCACUGUUUCACGCUGAGCACAAUUAAGUUCAGAAUUCUUUACAAAAACUCCUUAGUCCUACCCUAAAAACGCGUCUUUUCAUUUAGAAACGGAUUGUUACGUAUAGCCCAUAGAUUUCUAUCAUGCUUUGUCGAUGUGAGAUUUCCCUAAGGUGUUACAUUACACCCCCUUCCCCCCCCCCCCUCCUUGAGACACAACGUCGUCGUUGAGCUGUGCCUCACCAUCGUUGAAGAGUGAAGUAGACAGGCAGACAGGCUCUGAUACCACUUGCAAUACCCCAAAUUUUCAGACUUGUCCACUUUGGGCAUAAAUAUUGAUGCACGAAUUUAUUUUCGGGUGCAUAACAGUGACUUCACAGGUGGUCACCGAUUUCUGCACUACUCAACCCUGAGCAUGAUUAACUUGAGAGUUCUUUACAAGAACUCCACUAUCCCACCCCAUAAACGCGUCUUGUUAGUUAUGAAUGGAUUUUUACUUAUAGCCCAUAGAUCUCUCAUGUGCUUUAUCGAUGUGAGAUUUGCCUAAGGUGGUACAAAACUUCGUUACCAAACUAUCCAUUUGUUAGUUAACCCUUUUAAAAGCAUAAAAGAGCUCAUGAUGUAGGUGUGAAUCGCCUAUAAAACGGCCUUGAUAAGGGUUUCUUUAGCUGCGUGGGAGAGCAUGCUACAUUUCCAAACUUGGCCUUUCUUAACCAGAUGGUAAAUGAGGAAGGAGAAAGUUUUCUUCGUGAGUUGCCCCACUCUAUGGGGAUACCCAUAUAUUUUGAGCGACUGUUUGUUGGAGAGAAACCGACCAUGCUAAUAAUAUUGCUUAUGUCAUCUUCAGGAACACUAGCACUAAAGAAAAUGGAAGACUUUUCCAGGUUAACUUCUUGCCCAAUAGCUUUCCUGUACCGUUGCAUGAUGUCAAUGAUGCUCUCGGCUUCAUUGCAAGGUGUCUUCCCAAAAAUGAUUGUGUCAUCAGCAAACAAACAAUGAGAUAAGGUCGGCGUCUUAAGUUUAAUUCCACUAAGCUAGUUUAAUUACGCUAUUUCCC
This 21828-nucleotide long non-coding RNA is filed under the name Linum usitatissimum (flax). RNAcentral's name for it is "long non-coding RNA (LUSI_LNC003961)". The record is from RNAcentral. Lineage: Eukaryota; Viridiplantae; Streptophyta; Magnoliopsida; Malpighiales; Linaceae.